This 30-nucleotide non-coding RNA is filed under the name Mus musculus (house mouse). Lineage: Eukaryota; Metazoa; Chordata; Mammalia; Rodentia; Muridae. The record is from RNAcentral.
GCUGCGCCUCUAAUAGAACAGCUAAUCUAU